Molecule: ribosomal RNA, 510 nt
Filed under: uncultured bacterium
Lineage: Bacteria
Description: bacterial SSU rRNA
Rfam family: Bacterial small subunit ribosomal RNA
Source: RNAcentral
AGCGAACGUUUGCGGCGGGCUUAACACAUGCAAGUCGAACGGGCUAGUUCCCUUCGGGGGCGAAGUCGAGUGGCGGCACGGGUGCGUAACACCGUAAGGGUAAUACAACCCUACGGUGGUUGGGGGAUAACACUUCGAAAGGAGUGCUAAUACCCGGUAUGGCGCAGCGGUCUUCGGAUCGCGGCGAGAAAGACCCGCAAGGGUUGCCAGAGGACGAGCCUGCGGCCCAUCAGCUAGUUGGCGAGGUAACGGCUCACCAAGGCGAAGACGGGUAGCUGGUCUGAGAGGAUGAUCAGCCACACUGGAACUGAGACACGGUCCAGACUCCUACGGGAGGCAGCAGUGGGGAAUCUUGCGCAAUGGGCGAAAGCCUGACGCAGCCACGCCGCGUGAGCGAUGAAGGUCUUAGGAUCGUAAAGCUCUGUGGGGGGGAGAAGAACAAAGCCGGUGAAGAGCCGGCCCUGACGGUAUCCCCUUAGCAAGCACCGGCUAACUCCGUGCCAGCAGCCG